GAUGAAGAACGUAGCGAAAUGCGAUAAGUAAUGUGAAUUGCAGAAUUCCGUGAAUCAUCGAAUCUUUGAACGCAUAUUGCGCCCCUUGGUAUUCCAUGGGGCAUGCCUGUUCGAGCGUCAUUUGUACCUUCAAGCUUUGCUUGGUGUUGGGUGUUUGUCUCGCCUUUGCGUGUAGACUCGCCUUAAAAUAAUUGGCAGCCGGCGUAUUGAUUUCGGAGCGCAGUACAUCUCGCGCUUUGCACUCAUAACGACAGCGUCCAAAAGUACAUUUUACACUCUUGACCUCGGAUCAGGUAGGGAUACCCGCUGAACUUAAGCAUAUCAAUAAGCGGAGGA
Molecule: unclassified non-coding RNA, 336 nt
Filed under: soil metagenome
Description: partial contains 5.8S ribosomal RNA, internal transcribed spacer 2, and large subunit ribosomal RNA
Rfam family: 5.8S ribosomal RNA (bases 1-120)
Source: RNAcentral